AGUGAACGCUGGCGGUAGGCCUAACACAUGCAAGUCGAACGGCAGCACAGUAAGAGCUUGCUCUUACGGGUGGCGAGUGGCGGACGGGUGAGGAAUACAUCGGAAUCUACUUUUUCGUGGGGGAUAACGUAGGGAAGCUUACGCUAAUACCGCAUACGACCUACGGGUGAAAGCAGGGGAUCUUCGGACCUUGCGCGAUUGAAUGAGCCGAUGUCGGAUUAGCUAGUUGGCGGGGUAAAGGCCCGCCAAGGCGACGAUCCGUAGCUGGUCUGAGAGGAUGAUCAGCCACACUGGAACUGAGACACGGUCCAGACUCCUACGGGAGGCAGCAGUGGGGAAUAUUGGACAAUGGGCGCAAGCCUGAUCCAGCCAUACCGCGUGGGUGAAGAAGGCCUUCGGGUUGUAAAGCCCUUUUGUUGGGAAAGAAAAGCAGCAGGUUAAUACCCCGCUGUUCUGACGGUACCCAAAGAAUAAGCACCGGCUAACUUCGUG
Molecule: ribosomal RNA, 492 nt
Filed under: uncultured bacterium
Lineage: Bacteria
Description: partial 16S ribosomal RNA
Rfam family: Bacterial small subunit ribosomal RNA
Source: RNAcentral